AUGCUUUGGCAGCACCUACACUAAAAUUGAAAUGAUACACAGAAGGCCAGCGUGGCCAUGUGCAAGAAUAACACGCAAAAGUGUUCAGCAUUUCGUAUUUUU
Molecule: small nuclear RNA, 102 nt
Organism: Callithrix jacchus (white-tufted-ear marmoset)
Lineage: Eukaryota; Metazoa; Chordata; Mammalia; Primates; Cebidae
Source: Ensembl